CUCUUCGUAGCUCAGUUGGUAGAGCAGCUGACUCUUAAUCAGCGGGUCGUGGGUUCGAGUCCCACCGAGGAGA
Molecule: transfer RNA, 73 nt
Filed under: Bacteroidota bacterium
Lineage: Bacteria; Pseudomonadati; Bacteroidota
Also listed under: 2 other names
Description: tRNA-Lys
Rfam family: tRNA
About the family: Transfer RNA (tRNA) molecules are approximately 80 nucleotides in length. Their secondary structure includes four short double-helical elements and three loops (D, anti-codon, and T loops). Further hydrogen bonds mediate the characteristic L-shaped molecular structure. tRNAs have two regions of fundamental functional importance: the anti-codon, which is responsible for specific mRNA codon recognition, and the 3' end, to which the tRNAs corresponding amino acid is attached (by aminoacyl-tRNA synthetases). tRNAs cope with the degeneracy of the genetic code in two manners: having more than one tRNA (with a specific anti-codon) for a particular amino acid; and 'wobble' base-pairing, i.e. permitting non-standard base-pairing at the 3rd anti-codon position.
Source: RNAcentral